GCGGCAGGCUUAACACAUGCAAGUCGAACGCUGUAGCAAUACAGAGUGGCAGACGGGUGAGUAACGCGUGGGAACGUGCCUUUCGGUUCGGAAUAACUCAGGGAAACUUGAGCUAAUACCGGAUACGCCCUUCGGGGGAAAGAUUUAUUGCCGAAAGAUCGGCCCGCGUCCGAUUAGCUAGUUGGUGAGGUAACGGCCCACCAAGGCGACGAUCGGUAGCUGGUCUGAGAGGAUGAUCAGCCACACUGGGACUGAGACACGGCCCAGACCCCUACGGGAGGCAGCAGUGGGGAAUAUUGGACAAUGGGCGCAAGCCUGAUCCAGCCAUGCCGCGUGAGUGAUGAAGGCCCUAGGGUUGUAAAGCUCUUUCGCCAGGGACGAUAAUGACGGUACCUGGAUAAGAAGCCCCGGCUAACUUCGUGCCA
Molecule: ribosomal RNA, 425 nt
Filed under: uncultured Methylosinus sp.
Lineage: Bacteria; Pseudomonadati; Pseudomonadota; Alphaproteobacteria; Hyphomicrobiales; Methylocystaceae
Description: bacterial SSU rRNA
Rfam family: Bacterial small subunit ribosomal RNA
Source: RNAcentral